UACAGAGGGUGCAAGCGUUAAUCGGAAUUACUGGGCGUAAAGCGAGCGUAGGUGGCUUAAUAAGUCAGAUGUGAAAUCCCCGGGCUUAACCUGGGAACUGCAUCUGAUACUGUUGGGCUAGAGUAGGUGAGAGGGAGGUAGAAUUUCAGGUGUAGCGGUGAAAUGCGUAGAGAUCUGAAGGAAUACCGAUGGCGAAGGCAGCCUCCUGGCAUCAUACUGACACUGAGGUUCGAAAGCGUGGGUAGCAAACAGGAUUAGAAACCCGGGUAGU
Molecule: ribosomal RNA, 271 nt
Filed under: uncultured bacterium
Lineage: Bacteria
Description: partial 16S ribosomal RNA
Rfam family: Bacterial small subunit ribosomal RNA
Source: RNAcentral